AGAGUUUGAUUAUGGCUCAGAGUGAACGCUGGCGGCAUGGUUAAGACAUGCAAGUCGAACGAAAAGCAAAACUUCGGUUUUGUAGACAGUGGCGAACGGGUGCGUAACACGUGAGCAACCUGCCCUUGAGUAUAGAAUAGCUCGCCGAAAGGCGAAUUAAUACUGUAUGUGACCCUCUACCGCAUGGUAAAGUGGUUAAAGCUUGUAAUGGCGCUCAAGGAUGGGCUCGCGGCCUAUCAGCUUGUUGGUGAGGUAAAAGCUCACCAAGGCUAAGACGGGUAGCUGGUCUGAGAGGAUGAUCAGCCACACCGGGACUGAGACACGGCCCGGACACCUACGGGUGGCAGCAGUUUCGAAUCAUUCACAAUGGGCGAAAGCCUGAUGAUGCAAUGCCGCGCGGAGGAUGAAGGCCUUAGGGUCGUAAACUCCUGUCAUUAGGGAACAACAAAUAGGUUUAUAGCCUAUUCUGAGUUAACCUAAAGAGGAAGAGGUGGCUAACUCCGUGCCAGCAGCCGCGGUAAUACGGAGACCUCGAGCGUUACUCGGAUUUACUGGGCGUAAAGGGUGAGCAGGCGGCCAAGUGUGUCAGGUGUGAAAUCCCGGGGCUUAACCCCGGAACUGCGCCUGAAACUACUUGGCUAGAGUCUCGGAGAGGACAGUGGAAUUCUAGGUGUAGCGGUGAAAUGCGUAGAUAUCUAGAGGAACACCAGUGGCGAAGGCGACUGUCUGGACGAGUACUGACGCUCAAUCACGAAAGCGUGGGUAGCGAAAGGGAUUAGAUACCCCUGUAGUCCACGCCGUAAACGUUGUGCACUAAGUUUCGGAGGAUUCGACCCCUUCGGAGCUCUAGCUAACGCGUUAAGUGCACCGCCUGAGGACUACGGCCGCAAGGCUAAAACUCAAAGGAAUUGACGGGGGCCCGCACAAGCGGUGGAGCAUGUGGCUUAAUUCGAGGCAACGCGAAGAACCUUACCUGGUCUUGACAUGCCUGUCGUAGUUUUCCGAAAGGAAUUCGUCAGUUAGGCUGGACAGUGCACAGGUGCUGCAUGGCUGUCGUCAGCUCGUGUCGUGAGAUGUUCGGUUAAGUCCGGCAACGAGCGCAACCCUCGUUUCCAGUUGCCAGCGGGUAAUGCCGGGGACUCUGGAAAGACAAACCUCUUGUUGAGGUGGGAAGGUGGGGACGACGUCAAGUCAGUAUGGCCCUUACGACCAGGGCUGCACACGUGCUACAAUGCCCGGUACAAUGGGAUGCAAUAUCGCGAGAUUGAGCAAAUCCACAAAACCGGGCCCAGUUCGGAUUGGAGUCUGCAACUCGACUCCAUGAAGUUGGAAUCGCUAGUAAUGGCGUAUCAGCAAUGACGCCGUGAAUACGUUCCCGGGCCUUGUACACACCGCCCGUCACAUCAUGAAAGCCGGUUCUGCCCGAAGUACAUGAGUUAACCGCAAGGAGACAGUGUCCUAAGGUGGGGCUGGUGAUUGGGAUGAAGUCGUAACAAGGUA
RNAcentral lists this ribosomal RNA (1500 nucleotides) under uncultured bacterium. RNAcentral describes it as "bacterial SSU rRNA". It matches the Rfam family "Bacterial small subunit ribosomal RNA". The record is from RNAcentral.